CUCUGUCCAACCAUUUAGAAUUAGUUUUUUAGCUAACAAUUUUAUAAUUGAUCAUCAAAUGAUUAAUAUGCAUCCUACAUUCAUCGAAAUUGAAGAUGCAUAUGUUUAUUCAAGAAAGUUUGAAGACACUAGAAUUGCAUAUGUUUAUUCAAGAAAGUUUGAAGACACUAGAAUUGCAAUUUUGACCAAUAGAAUUGAAGCCUUAGAAUUUGAAAGACAUAUCCAAUUUAACCAAGUGCUAGCACCCAUAUGCAUUAGAUGCGAUGCACUAGAUCAUGUUGUGGAGGAGAACCCAACCCAAACUAAGUUCAUACAGGAGAGUGUAUUC
This 328-nucleotide long non-coding RNA is filed under the name Elaeis guineensis (African oil palm). RNAcentral describes it as "long non-coding RNA (EGUI_LNC044841)". Lineage: Eukaryota; Viridiplantae; Streptophyta; Magnoliopsida; Arecales; Arecaceae. The record is from RNAcentral.